RNAcentral lists this ribosomal RNA (332 nucleotides) under uncultured bacterium. RNAcentral's name for it is "bacterial SSU rRNA". It matches the Rfam family "Bacterial small subunit ribosomal RNA", at positions 568 to 898 of the family's 1533-position model. The record is from RNAcentral.
UGCGCAGGCGGCCGUGUGUGUCAGGUGUGAAAUCCCGGGGCUCAACCCCGGAACUGCGCCUGAAACUACAUGGCUAGAGCAUUGGAGAGGGUAGCGGAAUUCACGGUGUAGCAGUGAAAUGCGUAGAUAUCGUGAGGAACACCAGAGGCGAAGGCGGCUACCUGGACAAUUGCUGACGCUCAGGCACGAAAGCGUGGGGAGCAAAAGGGAUUAGAUACCCCUGUAGUCCACGCCCUAAACGGUGCACACUAGGUCUUGGCGGAUUCGACCCCACCAGGGCCCAAGCUAACGCGUUAAGUGUGCCGCCUGAGGACUACGGCCACAAGGCUAAA